Molecule: microRNA precursor, 122 nt
Filed under: Strigamia maritima
Lineage: Eukaryota; Metazoa; Arthropoda; Chilopoda; Geophilomorpha; Linotaeniidae
Description: microRNA mir-75
Rfam family: tRNA (bases 70-122)
Source: RNAcentral
GACUUGAAUCCAGAUCCCCCAAUUGCCGGUUGGAUGCUUUACCAUUAAGCUACCUGGGACUCCAACAGACUCCAGGUAGCUUAAUGGUAAAGCACCCAACCGGCAAUUGGGGGAUCUGGGUU